CCUACGGGUGGCAGCAGUGAGGAAUAUUGGUCAAUGGACGAGAGUCUGAACCAGCCAAGUAGCGUGAAGGAUGACUGCCCUAUGGGUUGUAAACUUCUUUUAUAUGGGAAUAAAAUGUUCCACGUGUGGGAUUUUGUAUGUACCAUAUGAAUAAGGAUCGGCUAACUCCGUGCCAGCAGCCGCGGUAAUACGGAGGAUCCGAGCGUUAUCCGGAUUUAUUGGGUUUAAAGGGAGCGUAGGUGGAUUGUUAAGUCAGUGGUGAAAGUUUGCGGCUCAACCGUAAAAUUGCAGUUGAAACUGGCAGUCUUGAGUACAGUAGAGGUGGGCGGAAUUCGUGGUGUAGCGGUGAAAUGCUUAGAUAACACGAAGAACUGCGAUUGCGAAGGCAGUUCACUGGACUGCAACUGACACUGAGGCUCGAAAGUGUGGGUAUCAAACAGGAUUAGAUACCCUAGUAGU
RNAcentral lists this ribosomal RNA (459 nucleotides) under uncultured bacterium. RNAcentral's name for it is "partial 16S ribosomal RNA". It matches the Rfam family "Bacterial small subunit ribosomal RNA", at positions 338 to 794 of the family's 1533-position model. The record is from RNAcentral.